AACUGAAAACUGGAGCUGCCGGAAAAAACUGGAACACUGUAGCUGCCGGAAAAAGCACUGUAGCUACCGGAAAAUUCAAAGUUGUCGGAAUUGAAAAAUAAAAAUAUAGAUAGGCUCGGAAUUCGAGGGCGAUCAGACUUUCUUGAAGGAAGUUUUUGAAAUUCUGACCGGAAAAGUACUGUAGCUGCCGGAAAAAACUCAAAGUUCUCGGAAUCAAACGAAAAUAGGAUGGGUAGGGUCGGAAUUAGUAUCCGACCAAACUGUCCUGAAGGAGUCACC
This 279-nucleotide long non-coding RNA is filed under the name Nicotiana benthamiana. RNAcentral describes it as "long non-coding RNA (NBEN_LNC028071)". The record is from RNAcentral. Lineage: Eukaryota; Viridiplantae; Streptophyta; Magnoliopsida; Solanales; Solanaceae.